This 86-nucleotide transfer RNA is filed under the name Paenibacillaceae bacterium. RNAcentral describes it as "tRNA-Leu(cag)". It matches the Rfam family "tRNA". From Rfam's summary of the family: Transfer RNA (tRNA) molecules are approximately 80 nucleotides in length. Their secondary structure includes four short double-helical elements and three loops (D, anti-codon, and T loops). Further hydrogen bonds mediate the characteristic L-shaped molecular structure. tRNAs have two regions of fundamental functional importance: the anti-codon, which is responsible for specific mRNA codon recognition, and the 3' end, to which the tRNAs corresponding amino acid is attached (by aminoacyl-tRNA synthetases). tRNAs cope with the degeneracy of the genetic code in two manners: having more than one tRNA (with a specific anti-codon) for a particular amino acid; and 'wobble' base-pairing, i.e. permitting non-standard base-pairing at the 3rd anti-codon position. The record is from RNAcentral. RNAcentral also lists the same sequence under 2 other names. Lineage: Bacteria; Bacillati; Bacillota; Bacilli; Caryophanales; Paenibacillaceae.
UGCGGUCGUGGCGGAAUUGGCAGACGCGCACGGUUCAGGUCCGUGUGGGUUAAUCCCCGUGGAGGUUCGAGUCCUCUCGACCGCAU